This 28-nucleotide small RNA is filed under the name Bombyx mori (domestic silkworm). RNAcentral describes it as "piRNA piR-bmo-1697192". The record is from RNAcentral. Lineage: Eukaryota; Metazoa; Arthropoda; Insecta; Lepidoptera; Bombycidae.
UCCAAAUUGUUUUAACGAAGUCCUCGGG